GACGAACGCUGGCGGCGUGCUUAACACAUGCAAGUCGAACGGAAAGGCCCUGCUUUUGUGGGGUGCUCGAGUGGCGAACGGGUGAGUAACACGUGAGUAACCUGCCCUUGACUUUGGGAUAACUUCAGGAAACUGGGGCUAAUACCGGAUAGGAGCUCCUGCUGCAUGGUGGGGUUUGUAAAGUUUCGGCGGUUGGGGAUGGACUCGCGGCUUAUCAGCUUGUUGGUGGGGUAGUGGCUUACCAAGGCUUUGACGGGUAGCCGGCCUGAGAGGGUGACCGGCCACAUUGGGACUGAGAUACGGCCCAGACUCCUACGGGAGGCAGCAGUGGGGAAUAUUGCACAAUGGGCGGAAGCCUGAUGCAGCAACGCCGCGUGCGGGAUGACGGCCUUCGGGUUGUAAACCGCUUUCGCCUGUGACGAAGCGUGAGUGACGGUAAUGGGUAAAGAAGCACCGGCUAACUACGUG
Molecule: ribosomal RNA, 468 nt
Filed under: uncultured bacterium
Lineage: Bacteria
Description: partial 16S ribosomal RNA
Rfam family: Bacterial small subunit ribosomal RNA
Source: RNAcentral